RNAcentral lists this ribosomal RNA (374 nucleotides) under uncultured Glomeromycotina. RNAcentral's name for it is "LSU rRNA". The record is from RNAcentral. Lineage: Eukaryota; Fungi; Glomeromycota.
UUGAAAGGGAAACGAUUGAAGCCAGUCGUACCUAUGGGUAAUCAGCCUUUUGGGUGUGAUUUUGUGGAGCGUGAGGAGUUAAACGCCUUCAUGCCUGCAUAUUCGUGCACUUUGGGUGUACUUGCCCGUGUGUAAGUUAACAUCAAUUUUGGUGGUCAUAAAAUGGCUGGAGGAAUGUAGCUUCGAUCUUGUAUUGAAGUGUUAUAGCCUUCGGUAGAUGUGACGAUCGGGAUUGAGGAUUGCAACGGAUACCUUUAGGGCAGUUCCUUCUGGUCUCUUGUUGACGUUCAGAUGACAACAGCUUGCUUUUGUUGUUUUGAAUAGUUUUGCGAAUAGAUUGGAAAGUGAAUUAAUUCGUUAAGGAUGUUGACGUA